This 478-nucleotide ribosomal RNA is filed under the name Acinetobacter ursingii. RNAcentral describes it as "bacterial SSU rRNA". It matches the Rfam family "Bacterial small subunit ribosomal RNA", at positions 168 to 638 of the family's 1533-position model. The record is from RNAcentral. Lineage: Bacteria; Pseudomonadati; Pseudomonadota; Gammaproteobacteria; Moraxellales; Moraxellaceae.
ACCACACACGUCCAACGGUUGAACCCAGGGGAUCUUCGGACCUUGCGCUAAUAGAUGAGCCUAAAUCGGAUUACCUAGUUGGUGGGGUAAAGGCCUACCAGGGCCACCAUCUGUAGCGGGUCUGAGAGGAUGAUCCGCCACAGUGGGACUGACACACGGGCCAUACUCCUACGGGAGGCCUCCUUGGGGAAUAUUGGACAAUGGGGGGAACCCUGAUCCAGCCAUGCCGAGUGUGUGAAGAAGGCCUUAUGGUUGUAGAGCUCUUUACGCAAGGAUGAGGGUACUGGGAUUAAUACUACCAAGUUCUGGACGUUGCUCGCUUAAUAGGCCCCGGCUAACUCUGUGCCAGCAGCCGCGGGCCUACAGACGCUGCAAGCGUUAAUCGGAUUUACUGAUCCUGAAGCGUGGGGUCGGCGGCUAACUGAAUCAGGAUGUCAAAUCCCCCAGCUGAACUUGGGACCCCCCUUCUAUACUGGUU